This 253-nucleotide ribosomal RNA is filed under the name uncultured bacterium. Its description in RNAcentral is "partial 16S ribosomal RNA". It matches the Rfam family "Bacterial small subunit ribosomal RNA", at positions 524 to 776 of the family's 1533-position model. The record is from RNAcentral.
UACGUAGGGGGCGAGCGUUGUCCGGAUUUAUUGGGCGGAAAGAGCUCGUAGGCGGUUCGAUAAGUCGGAUGUGAAAGCUCCCGGCUCAACUGGGAGAGGUCCUUGGAUACUGGCAGACUUGAGGGAGGUAGAGGAGAGUGGAAUUCCCGGUGUAGUGGUGAUAUGCGUAGAUAUCGGGAGGAACACCGGUGGCGAAGGCGGCGAUCUGGGUAGAUACUGACGCUGAGGUGCGAAAGCGUGGGGAGCAAACAGG